RNAcentral lists this ribosomal RNA (603 nucleotides) under Microbacterium sp. Dx 1-s. RNAcentral's name for it is "bacterial SSU rRNA". It matches the Rfam family "Bacterial small subunit ribosomal RNA", at positions 62 to 675 of the family's 1533-position model. The record is from RNAcentral. Lineage: Bacteria; Bacillati; Actinomycetota; Actinomycetes; Micrococcales; Microbacteriaceae.
UCGAACGAUGAACCCGAAGCUUGCUUUGGGGGAUUAGUGGCGAACGGGUGAGUAACACGUGAGCAACCUGCCCCUCACUCUGGGAUAAGCGCUGGAAACGGCGUCUAAUACUGGAUACGAGUCGCAACCGCAUGGUUAGCGAUUGGAAAGAUUUUUUGGUGGGGGAUGGGCUCGCGGCCUAUCAGCUUGUUGGUGAGGUAAUGGCUCACCAAGGCGUCGACGGGUAGCCGGCCUGAGAGGGUGACCGGCCACACUGGGACUGAGACACGGCCCAGACUCCUACGGGAGGCAGCAGUGGGGAAUAUUGCACAAUGGGCGGAAGCCUGAUGCAGCAACGCCGCGUGAGGGAUGACGGCCUUCGGGUUGUAAACCUCUUUUAGCAGGGAAGAAGCGAAAGUGACGGUACCUGCAGAAAAAGCACCGGCUAACUACGUGCCAGCAGCCGCGGUAAUACGUAGGGUGCAAGCGUUAUCCGGAAUUAUUGGGCGUAAAGAGCUCGUAGGCGGUUUGUCGCGUCUGCUGUGAAAUCCCGAGGCUCAACCUCGGGCCUGCAGUGGGUACGGGCAGACUAGAGUGCGGUAGGGGAGAUUGGAAUUCCUGGUG